Molecule: ribosomal RNA, 404 nt
Filed under: Verrucomicrobiota bacterium
Lineage: Bacteria; Pseudomonadati; Verrucomicrobiota
Description: Verrucomicrobia bacterium partial 16S ribosomal RNA
Rfam family: Bacterial small subunit ribosomal RNA
Source: RNAcentral
UGGGGAAUAUUGCACAAUGGGGGAAACCCUGAUGCAGCGACGCCGCGUGAGCGAUGAAGGCUUUCGAGUCGUAAAGCUCUGUCCUAUGGGAAGAUAAUGACGGUACCAUAGAAGAAAGCCCCGGCUAAUUACGUGCCAGCAGCCGCGGUAAUACGUAAGGGGCGAGCGUUGUCCGGAAUUAUUGGGCGUAAAGAGUGCGUAGGCGGCAAAUUAAGUCAGAUGUGAAAACUAAGGGCUCAACCCAUAGAUUGCAUCUGAAACUGAUAUGCUUGAGUCAAGGAGAGGAAAGUGGAAUUCCUAGUGUAGCGGUGGAAUGCGUAGAUAUUAGGAGGAACACCGGUGGCGAAGGCGACUUUCUGGACUUGAACUGACGCUGAGGCACGAAAGCGUGGGGAGCAAACAGG